GAGUUUGAUCCUGGCUCAGAUUGAACGCUAGCGGGAUGCCUUACACAUGCAAGUCGAACGGCAGCACGGACUUCGGUCUGGUGGCGAGUGGCGAACGGGUGAGUAAUGUAUCGGAACGUGCCCAGUAGCGGGGGAUAACUACGCGAAAGCGUAGCUAAUACCGCAUACGCCCUACGGGGGAAAGCAGGGGAUCGUAAGACCUUGCACUAUUGGAGCGGCCGAUAUCGGAUUAGCUAGUUGGUGGGGUAACGGCUCACCAAGGCGACGAUCCGUAGCUGGUUUGAGAGGACGACCGGCCACACUGGGACUGAGACACGGCCCAGACUCCUACGGGAGGCAGCAGUGGGGAAUUUUGGACAAUGGGGGAAACCCUGAUCCAGCCAUCCCGCGUGUGCGAUGAAGGCCUUCGGGUUGUAAAGCACUUUUGGCAGGAAAGAAACGUCAUGGGUUAAUACCCCGUGAAACUGACGGUACCUGCAGAAUAAGCACCGGCUAACUACGUGCCAGCAGCCGCGGUAAUACGUAGGGUGCAAGCGUUAAUCGGAAUUACUGGGCGUAAAGCGUGCGCAGGCGGUUCGGAAAGAAAGAUGUGAAAUCCCAGAGCUUAACUUUGGAACUGCAUUUUUAACUACCGGGCUAGAGUGUGUCAGAGGGAGGUGGAAUUCCGCGUGUAGCAGUGAAAUGCGUAGAUAUGCGGAGGAACACCGAUGGCGAAGGCAGCCUCCUGGGAUAACACUGACGCUCAUGCACGAAAGCGUGG
Molecule: ribosomal RNA, 760 nt
Filed under: uncultured Achromobacter sp.
Lineage: Bacteria; Pseudomonadati; Pseudomonadota; Betaproteobacteria; Burkholderiales; Alcaligenaceae
Description: bacterial SSU rRNA
Rfam family: Bacterial small subunit ribosomal RNA
Source: RNAcentral